Molecule: long non-coding RNA, 2156 nt
Filed under: Homo sapiens (human)
Lineage: Eukaryota; Metazoa; Chordata; Mammalia; Primates; Hominidae
Description: small nucleolar RNA host gene 28
Source: RNAcentral
GAGAGGACGCCGUGGCGCCCGGGUGCAAGGCCAGCGGGCGCGGCAGCCGCGUCACCCACCUCCUGGGGUACCCGACGCAGAACGUCAGCCGCUCCCUGCGCCGCAAGUACGCGCCUCCCCCCUGCGGCGGCCCCGAGGACGUGGCCCUGGCGCCCUGCACCGCCGCCGCCGCCUGCGAAGCGGGCCCCUCCCCGGUCUACGUCAAGGUCAAGAGCGCGGAGCCGGCUGACUGCGCCGAGGGGCCGGUGCAGUGCAAGAACGGCCUCUUGGUCUCCAGCCCACACUGUGAAGAGCCUUGUGCCCACAGCUGUGCACAUCCUGGGCUUCCUCCACACCUUGUCCAUAAACUGCCCCUCAGCUACCUUCAGACCCAGGAUACAGGAGAACAGAUGCAAAAACUAUUGCUCAAGGAAAAUAAAGUGAAAACGAGGAAAAGCAAAAGAAGAUCUGGAGAGGGCUCUCACCUGACCACAAGCAUCCUGGAGCAAUGAGUUUCAGGCAGGAAGACUCAUCCUGAGCUGAGCUGCUUUUCUUGAAGUUGUGCAAGAACGUCCUGUUGGCUGGGGCAAAUUCAGUAUUUCUUUUCCUGGCCACUGUGCUGGAGCGUGAGGAAAGACUCUCCACCCUCACUCCCAGAUCCUGCAGGAGGCGUGAGAGCGGAUGGAGAUGGUGAGGAUGUCUAUUAAUAUGGUGUUUCCUGCAAAACGGUGCCCAUCUCAACCAUGGGUUGUCAACCAUCCUCGGUGUCUACAACUGCAAUUUACCUUUGAGGGCCCAUGAACUCUGAUUACCUGAAAGUCCUUAGGCCAGAAAGAGAAACCCCUGUCCCCCACCUCUCACUUUCACCUAUUUCUAGACCUUUUCUUACAGCAAUGCCUUGGCCCUCAGGAAGCAUCAGAUCUCAAACUGCAGGGUCUGGGGCUGAAGCUGAUGCUGGCAUGGGUGACUCAGAGUUCCUCUAUUAGUUCAAAUAUGUAAUAUCUUUUAGAGCCUAGGACUCAGGCUGGAGGCAAUUCCUUGGUGCCAGUUGGUUAAUACUUUAUGAAUAGUGGUGGGGGAGGGAAUGCCUUGGACUAUUAAUGUCCCCAUGGAUCUGGAUCCUGGAGAACUUCCAGUGUCCUGGAUGGAAUGUUCUGCUUGGCUCAUCUUGCCCAGAGAAGAGCCAGGAUAUGAGAAGAUGGGAGAGGGAAGGGGGAGGUGUGAAACGUGCUGGUGCUUCCUGUCCUCGUGGUGUGAUGGCUGCCCAGGCUGCUCCUUCGAGGCAGGACAGGAUUCCCAUGGGAGAUAUGAGGACCAUGGUGAUUUCCAGGCACCAGUUAUGUCCCAGAGCAUCGUGUGCCUGUGCAGUGGGGUUACUGAUAGUCCAGGCAUCAGUUCAUAUUGUCCUUUAUGGCAGAUCCUGCACAAGGGGGUUCUCUGUCUCUGGACCCACUCUGUCAGCAUGGACAUCCUUUUUCUUUUUCCCUGGUAAGGACAUCAGAAAGAAAGUUACCCCUCCAGUGUUUGGAGUCUUGGAAUCCUUGGCCUGCCUGCAGGCCUCUGAAUCCUCAGUGUGUUAGCCCAAGGUCACCUUAGGUAAAGGAACAUUUCUCCUGGUCUUCCAACACCCUGGAAAGGGAGGCUCUUCAAGAAUAGGAAAUUCUUCCUAGUAUCUAACCUUGGCCUGCAACUAUGCCAUACAUUUAAUUGUAGAAGGUAUGGAAAGUUAGGACUGUGGUGGACCCAGUUAAAUCACUGGACAGAAGCCAUGAGGCAGAGCCAGAACCAGCUUCUGGACUCCCUGCAUGGAGCUUUCUACUAUCCCAGGUUGUUGGGUCCCUUCUCAGUGGCCAAAGAUGCUAUUUUAUGAGCCUUGAGGACAUGACACUAAGUGAAAAAAGCCUGGCCAAAGGGCCACAUAGUGUAUAGUUCUAUUUAUAUGAAAUGUCCAGGAAAGACAAAAGCAUAGAGGCAGAAAGCAGACUAGUGCUGUGGGAGGAAUGGGGGAUUUGGGAGGUGAUGGCUAAGGGGUUAUGGGGUUUUGGGGGAGGUAAUAGAAAUGUUUUAAAAUUGGUUGUGAAGGUGGAUGCCCAACUCUGCGAAUACACUAAAAGGCAUCGAAUUGUAUACUUUAAAUAGGUGAAUUGUAUGCUAUGUGAAUUAUAUCUCAAUAAAGG